GACGAACGCUGGCGGCGUGCUUAACACAUGCAAGUCGAACGGAAAGGCCUCUUUCGGGGGGUACUCGAGUGGCGAACGGGUGAGUAACCCGUGAGUAACCUGCCCUUGACUUUGGGAUAACUUCAGGAAACUGGGGCUAAUACCGGAUAGGAGUUCCUGCUGCAGGUUGGGGGUUGGAAAGUUUCGGCGGUUGGGGAUGGACUCGCGGCUUUUCAGCUUGUUGGUGGGGUAGUGGCUUACCAAGGCUUUGACGGGUAGCCGGCCUGGGAGGGUGACCGGCCACAUUGGGACUGAGAUACGGCCCAGACUCCUACGGGAGGCAGCAGUGGGGAAUAUUGCACAAUGGGUGGAAGCCUGAUGCAGCAACGCCGUGUGCGGGAUGACGGCCUUCGGGUUGUAAACCGCUUUCGCUCAUGACGAAGCUUUGUGUGACGGUAGUGGGUAAAGAAGCACCGGCUAACUACGUG
RNAcentral lists this ribosomal RNA (467 nucleotides) under uncultured bacterium. Its description in RNAcentral is "partial 16S ribosomal RNA". It matches the Rfam family "Bacterial small subunit ribosomal RNA", at positions 28 to 507 of the family's 1533-position model. The record is from RNAcentral.